Long non-coding RNA from Folsomia candida, 909 nucleotides. RefSeq lists it as uncharacterized. The transcript is spliced from 3 exons. NCBI's taxonomy places the organism in Eukaryota, Metazoa, Arthropoda, Collembola, Entomobryomorpha, Isotomidae. The record is from RefSeq and is a predicted model, not a curated record.
AAAUGCAUACAUAUGUGUAACGGAUGUAGUCGAGGUCUAUAAGGAUUAAUAUAAUUCUGACGAGAUGAAAGUGGAACAAUGCCUCGUUAUUGCAAUGAAACGGGACAGAUUGUGUGUGAUAAAUGACGACGGGGUUUACGACGACGAAUCAUCUUUUCAUUCAUGUCACAUCUCAUUUAUAACAGGGCAGGCCAUUCAGACGAAGAUCUGACUGCGUGGUCUGACGGUGUAUGUAGGUGUUAAAAGUAUAAAUUUAUAUGUUAACGAAAAAGAAAGUGGACUCACAUCACUGGAGGAUCUCGCCCUCGUGGAUUCGGACGACGUGCUUGGAUUAUUUGUACUGGAAUGCGCACUCGCCCUGCUCGGCCGAUGCGACCCACCGCCGCCUCCACCGCCGCUCCCACUCUGCGUCUGCCUCUUCCGCGGCGAUCCGGUGAACAUCAUCGUGACAAAUUGUAUAUUUAAUACAACAACCCUUGUUUCGGCUUUUCAUUCUAAAUACUUACCGAUACGAUGCUACGAUGCACCACCAUUCAGCUUAAAGAGAGAGCUCAUGUCUUUGUAUUCUUACUUGAAUGUCUUAAAUACGAAUGGAUUGACGUCAGUGAAUUUUUUGGAUCGAGUAUUUUCAUUCAUGAAAACCAAACUGUGUGGCUGAAAGAAAACAAGUCUCUUAAACUUAUAUAACACCAAAAAUGCUGGUGUGGAUGAGAUUAGUGUUGCAUUCGUGACAUAUUUCUUUAGGUAUUUACAAAUUUGAGGUAUGGAAUUUUGGGAGAUUUCUGCUCCAUUUAUUAUGAUUUUUUCAUUAAGUCGAUAUCUCCAGCGUAUAUGUAUAACAAUGAAAUAAGUAAAUUUAAUAAUUCUGGAUAAGUGUUAAAGCAAUAAUUGUUAAUAAAACUGAAAAAA